CAGAGGAUUGCCCUAGGUAACGGCGAGUGAAGCGGCAACAGCUCAAAUUUGAAAGCUGGCCUUCGGGUCCGCAUUGUAAUUUGUAGAGGAUGCUUUGGGUGAAACGCCAGUCUAAGUUCCUUGGAACAGGACGUCAUAGAGGGUGAGAAUCCCGUAUGUGACUGGAAAUGUUAACCUAUGUAAAGCUCCUUCGACGAGUCGAGUUGUUUGGGAAUGCAGCUCUAAAUGGGAGGUAAAUUUCUUCUAAAGCUAAAUAUUGGCGAGAGACCGAUAGCGCACAAGUAGAGUGAUCGAAAGAUGAAAAGCACUUUGGAAAGAGAGUUAAAAAGCACGUGAAAUUGUUGAAAGGGAAGCGCUUGCAAUCAGACUUGUUUAAACUGUUCGGCCGGUCUUCUGACCGGUUUACUCAGUUUGGACAGGCCAGCAUCAGUUUCGGCGGCCGGAUAAAGGCUCUGGGAAUGUGGCCUUCACUUCGGUGAAGGUGUUAUAGCCCAGGGUGUAAUACGGCCAGCCGGGACUGAGGUCCGCGCUUCGGCUAGGAUGCUGGCGUAAUG
RNAcentral lists this ribosomal RNA (554 nucleotides) under Aureobasidium pullulans. Its description in RNAcentral is "partial large subunit ribosomal RNA". It matches the Rfam family "Eukaryotic large subunit ribosomal RNA", at positions 68 to 636 of the family's 3401-position model. The record is from RNAcentral. Lineage: Eukaryota; Fungi; Ascomycota; Dothideomycetes; Dothideales; Saccotheciaceae.